UACGGAGGGAGCUAGCGUUGUUCGGAAUUACUGGGCGUAAAGCGCACGUAGGCGGCUUUGUAAGUUAGAGGUGAAAGCCCGGGGCUCAACUCCGGAACUGCCUUUAAGACUGCAUCGCUUGAAUCCAGGAGAGGUGAGUGGAAUUCCGAGUGUAGAGGUGAAAUUCGUAGAUAUUCGGAAGAACACCAGUGGCGAAGGCGGCUCACUGGCCCGGUACUGACGCUGAGGAGCGAAAGCGUGGGGAGCGAACAGG
This 253-nucleotide ribosomal RNA is filed under the name uncultured bacterium. RNAcentral describes it as "partial 16S ribosomal RNA". It matches the Rfam family "Bacterial small subunit ribosomal RNA", at positions 524 to 776 of the family's 1533-position model. The record is from RNAcentral.